ACAACUUUUUCUUAUUUUUUUGUUUAUUUUUUGUGAAAUGUUGAUAUUUCUUGUUUUUUUGUUGUUACUGAUAAAUAUUUUUUGUUGAGUUGGAUUAGUACCCAUGUAAAUAAUUUUUAUUAAUGCGGGAGUAAAUUAGUUUUUAAACCGUAAAAAUAUUGACUGAUUUUUAAUUUUUCUUUGGAAGAUGUGAAUUUUGGGAGAGCCCUCCUUGCUUGUGUGAAUUAUCGGCGCAUGUAUGAUUGUUUAAUUUUUAUAAUUUUUGUUAUGUUUAAAAAUUUUUCUUUAUAAAAAUAGAUAUAUACUUGGUUUAUGUUUUAUUUUUCAUUUGUUACUAUAAUUUAUAUUUCGGAUUAGAAAUUGGGAUUUUUAUGAAGUUGGAAAAGAUAGUAAAAGUGAUUU
Molecule: ribosomal RNA, 402 nt
Filed under: Streptocara incognita
Lineage: Eukaryota; Metazoa; Nematoda; Chromadorea; Rhabditida; Acuariidae
Description: partial 12S ribosomal RNA
Source: RNAcentral